UACAGAGGUCCCCAAGCGUUGUUCGGAUUCACUGGGCGUAAAGGGUGCGUAGGCGGUCGGGUAAGUCCGGUGUGAAAUCUCGCGGCUCAACCGCGAAACUGCACUGGAUACUAUCUGGCUUGAGGGUUGGAGGGGGACUGGAAUUCUCGGUGUAGCAGUGAAAUGCGUAGAUAUCGAGAGGGACACUGGUGGCGAAGGCGAGUCCCUGGACAACUCCUGACGCUGAGGCACGAAAGCUAGGGGAGCAAACAGGAUUAGAUA
RNAcentral lists this ribosomal RNA (261 nucleotides) under uncultured bacterium. RNAcentral describes it as "partial 16S ribosomal RNA". It matches the Rfam family "Bacterial small subunit ribosomal RNA", at positions 524 to 784 of the family's 1533-position model. The record is from RNAcentral.